RNAcentral lists this ribosomal RNA (497 nucleotides) under uncultured bacterium. RNAcentral's name for it is "partial 16S ribosomal RNA". It matches the Rfam family "Bacterial small subunit ribosomal RNA", at positions 28 to 507 of the family's 1533-position model. The record is from RNAcentral.
GAUGAACGCUGGCGGCGUGCCUAAUACAUGCAAGUCGAGCGAACAGACGAGGAGCUUGCUCCUCUGACGUUAGCGGCGGACGGGUGAGUAACACGUGGAUAACCUACCUAUAAGACUGGGAUAACUUCGGGAAACCGGAGCUAAUACCGGAUAAUAUAUUGAACCGCAUGGUACAAUAGUGAAAGACGGUUUUGCUGUCACUUAUAGAUGGAUCCGCGCCGCAUUAGCUAGUUGGUAAGGUAACGGCUUACCAAGGCAACGAUGCGUAGCCGACCUGAGAGGGUGAUCGGCCACACUGGAACUGAGACACGGUCCAGACUCCUACGGGAGGCAGCAGUAGGGAAUCUUCCGCAAUGGGCGAAAGCUUGACGGAGCAACGCCGCGUGAGUGAUGAAGGUCUUCGGAUCGUAAAACUCCGUUAUUAGGGAAGAACAAAUGUGUAAGUAACUAUGCACGUCUUGACGGUACCUAAUCAGAAAGCCACGGCUAACUACGUG